UCUGUGCAGGGGAAAAUGGAGACGGGGUUUGAGAGUUCAGUGCUGACCAGGAUUUAUGCCAGGGUGUUUUGCCAAAUAUCCUUGUUGAAGCCAGUGCUUUUUCUUACUCUUUGAUAUCUUUUGUCACCAAUUUCUAGGCCUUUGCUAUGACCAACCAAAUUCUGGUGGAGAAGUCAGUGACAGGUUGGAAAGAAAUAGAAUAUGAAGUGGUUCGAGAUGCUGAUGACAAUUGUGUCACUGUCUGUAACAUGGAAAAUGUUGACGCCAUGGGUGUUCACACAGGUGACUCCGUUGUUGUGGCUCCUGCCCAGACACUCUCCAAU
RNAcentral lists this small RNA (323 nucleotides) under Pongo abelii (Sumatran orangutan). RNAcentral describes it as "retained intron". The record is from RNAcentral. Lineage: Eukaryota; Metazoa; Chordata; Mammalia; Primates; Hominidae.